AGAGUGGGUAGUCCGCACGAGCGCACCCUAUCCUUAGUUGCCAGCACAUUAUGGUGGGGACUCUAAGGAGACUGCCUGGGAUAACCAGGAGGAAGGUGGGGAUGAUGUCAAGUCAGUAUGUCCCUUAUGUCCAGGGCUACACACGUGUUACAAUGGUUGGUACAGAGGGCAGCUAAGCCGCAAGGUGGAGCCAAUCCCCCAAAACCAACCCCAGUUCGGAUUGGAGUCUGCAACUCGACUCCAUGAAGCAGGAAUCGCUAGUAAUCGUGGAUCAGAACGCCACGGUGAAUACGUUCCCGGGUCUUGUACACACCGCCCGUCACGCCAUGGAAGUCAGUAGUACCCGAAUCGGGUGGCCCAACCUUAGGGAGGGAGCUCGUUAAGGUAAGACUGGUAACUGGGGCGAAGUCGUAACAAGGUAGCCGUACCGGAAGGUGCGGCUGGAUCACCUCCUUUU
This 457-nucleotide ribosomal RNA is filed under the name uncultured delta proteobacterium. RNAcentral's name for it is "bacterial SSU rRNA". It matches the Rfam family "Bacterial small subunit ribosomal RNA", at positions 1073 to 1533 of the family's 1533-position model. The record is from RNAcentral. Lineage: Bacteria; Deltaproteobacteria.